Long non-coding RNA from Oncorhynchus kisutch (coho salmon), 706 nucleotides. RefSeq lists it as uncharacterized. The record is from RefSeq and is a predicted model, not a curated record. The transcript is spliced from 3 exons. NCBI's taxonomy places the organism in Eukaryota, Metazoa, Chordata, Actinopteri, Salmoniformes, Salmonidae.
AGAUGGCAACGGAAAAAAAAGAGAGAGAAUGAUUGUGAAAUCAGAAAAUGCUUUGUUGUUGUCUAAAAAGGAGUAAUCUAUGCGACAAAAGGAUACAUUUUUUUAGGCGAUCUUGUUUGCGUUCGUAUGUAGUUUUGUUGUUUGUUUUUGUAAUGUUGGCUCCAUGUUUACAGUGUACACCCUGAUUGACUGACAGUGGAAUUGCCCGAAUAGCCACCGUUAGCAUUUUGGCUAACUAGCAAGCUAAGUUGUUUCGUGGAAAUCACUGCGUGGUGGUUGACUUUCAGUCCUGGGAGAGCAGUUGGGGCUAAGGAAGGCUAAGCCAAUCGCUGCUGGUUGGUGACUUGCUUGAAAAGCCAGCGUUGCACUGGAGCAGCCAGCUAGGGCCAUGAGCCAGGGCUUCCUCCUCCCUCUGUGGACCAGAGCCAAAAUGGAGAUUUAGCCCAGACAGACGCUGAGCAAGUGUUCAGUGCUGCGGGUCCUCUGCCUAGGCAUGGAGUGGUGUUGGCUGCAGACUGGAUGACAGGGUCUUCAGGGAGAGCCGACGCGCAUCCCCCUGCACAGACACCCAACCCCCUAACUGACCACCACUGAUCCGUUACCGCGGUGACACUGACACCGAAGUACAGCCUCACUCCUGCAACCACAGCAGAACCCCCACCCCCCCUCUUUUUCCUCGUCCCCCUCUAUCUGGACUCUCCUUACC